RNAcentral lists this ribosomal RNA (921 nucleotides) under Serratia sp. (in: enterobacteria). RNAcentral's name for it is "bacterial SSU rRNA". It matches the Rfam family "Bacterial small subunit ribosomal RNA", at positions 117 to 1034 of the family's 1533-position model. Lineage: Bacteria; Pseudomonadati; Pseudomonadota; Gammaproteobacteria; Enterobacterales; Yersiniaceae. The record is from RNAcentral.
CUGGGAAACUGCCUGAUGGAGGGGGAUAACUACUGGAAACGGUAGCUAAUACCGCAUAACGUCUUCGGACCAAAGUGGGGGACCUUCGGGCCUCACGCCAUCAGAUGUGCCCAGAUGGGAUUAGCUAGUAGGUGGGUAAUGGCUCACCUAGGCGACGAUCCCUAGCUGGUCUGAGAGGAUGACCAGCCACACUGGAACUGAGACACGGUCCAGACUCCUACGGGAGGCAGCAGUGGGGAAUAUUGCACAAUGGGCGCAAGCCUGAUGCAGCCAUGCCGCGUGUGUGAAGAAGGCCUUCGGGUUGUAAAGCACUUUCAGCGAGGAGGAAGGGUUCAGUGUUAAUAGCACUGUUCAUUGACGUUACUCGCAGAAGAAGCACCGGCUAACUCCGUGCCAGCAGCCGCGGUAAUACGGAGGGUGCAAGCGUUAAUCGGAAUUACUGGGCGUAAAGCGCACGCAGGCGGUUUGUUAAGUCAGAUGUGAAAUCCCCGCGCUUAACGUGGGAACUGCAUUUGAAACUGGCAAGCUAGAGUCUUGUAGAGGGGGGUAGAAUUCCAGGUGUAGCGGUGAAAUGCGUAGAGAUCUGGAGGAAUACCGGUGGCGAAGGCGGCCCCCUGGACAAAGACUGACGCUCAGGUGUGAAAGUGUGGGGAGCAAACAGGAUUUGAUACCCUGGUAGUCCACGCUGUAAACGAUGUCGAAUUGGAGGUUGUGCCCUUGAGGCGUGGCUUCCGGAGCCUAACGCGUUAAGUCGACCGCCUGGGGAGUACGGCCGCAAGGUUAAAACUCAAAUGAAUUGACGGGGGCCCGCACAAGCGGUGGAGCAUGUGGUUUAAUUCGAUGCAACGCGAAGAACCUUACCUACUCUUGACAUCCACAGAAUUCGCUAGAGAUAGCUUAGUGCCUUCGGGAACUGUGAGA